This is a long non-coding RNA of Musa acuminata AAA Group (dessert banana), 2179 nucleotides long. RefSeq lists it as uncharacterized. NCBI's taxonomy places the organism in Eukaryota, Viridiplantae, Streptophyta, Magnoliopsida, Zingiberales, Musaceae. The record is from RefSeq and is a predicted model, not a curated record. The transcript is spliced from 3 exons.
UACGCAUCGGCCACCCUCUUACGCACUGGCCACCCUUGCUUUCUCCCGCUUUACCCGCGCCCGCCCUCCGCUCCGGCCGCCUUGCCGUCCUUCCCGUCGUCGACGUGUUCGGCGAGGGCUAUAGUUUCCCCCUCUCGCGCGCCAACUUCAUUGGCAUUUGGUACCCUCUUGAAGGACCUCGUCUUCUUCUAUGCUCUCCUCGGCGCCUAGCGGUCACCCACCAGCUCUUCGACGCUAUGCCCUGCCGGUAGCCUUUCCUUCGCCAGGGCCGUCGUCGACCAGAAUGCCGUUUCGUGGACGCAUAUGGUAGUCGUGUACUGCAAGGCCGGUGCCGUCGUUUCUGCUAGGUAACUGUUCGACAGACUGCCUGAGAAGAACCUGGUUUUGUUGACCACUAAAGUUAACGAGGGAUGACUAAAGAGGCGCUUGCGCGAGUUGAAAUGGCAGAAGAUAGAGCCAGACGCAGCCACUGUGGUCUGCAUCAUCUCCGCCUCGGUUCAGCUGCGAAUUGUGGAGCUGCUGAUCUGAGUUGGAUCGUAUGUCAAUAGCAAGAAGAACGAGAGGAACGAGCACGAUGCACUUGUGGACAUGCAUGCCAAGUGAGGCAACAUCGAGAAAGCUUUGUGCACAUUCGAAGAGAUUCCGUGGACUCAAAAUGAUGGCGCUCGACAUCUUUGACAUACUGCGAAGGGAGAUGAUGAUGCCAGAUUGCAUCACAUUUGUCAGGAGUUCUGGGAAAGCAUUGUUUGCAGCUAUGGCAUGGAGCAGAGAGCCGACCGCAUUUCUUGCAUCACGGACAUGCUUGGAUGGGCAAGGUGGCUUAAGGAAGCACAUAAGAUAAUUCAGAGCUCCACAUAUUUGACACAAUGCACUGGGAGGUGAUCAAGCCAGUCUGUAUCAUGUUUGUCAGCACGCAGAGUGCCUGAAGCCAUUCAAAGCUUGUCACACAAAGGGUUGGAAUUCUGUGAUUCCUUUUCUGCAUGGAUGUGCUGGGAGGCAUAGAGAAGCACAUAAGAUGGUUCAGAGUAUUCUAGUGUGGCCUCAUCCAGGAGCGCUAGUGGGCAUUGCUUGCAGCUUGGAGGACUUGUGCCAAUACUGAGAUUGCAGAGAACUGUUGAAGGUGGAACCAAGAACUAGGGAAACUGUAUGCUUCUUACAAUGAUAACAUUGCAAGAAUUAGAGCGAUGAUAAGAGAGAAAUUUCAACGAACUUCCAGGCUUGAGUUGGAUUUACAUUUAGCAGAGCUGCUGUAGAUUUCAGAAUAAGGUGUUGACAUGCAUCAAAUGCAGGACUGAUUAAUUUGUUGCCUUCUUUUCUGGUUAGUCUUACAACAAGAUGAUUGGUUGGUUAAGGCAAAGAGCAUUGAUGAUUUGAGCUGCCAGGGCAUACCUUGGUGUUAGAGUACUUUGAUUGUGCUUUUUUUUAAUGCAACAAGCAUCAACCAGCUGGGUGGCUAUCCAGCUAUCAAAAUUUAUAUCAGACGAUCUAAGUGGGCAACCAGCAAGGAACUGCAGUUGUGGGGCAUAUCAAGAAUUGUGUCUCAUGGAGUAUGGGAUGUUGCACCAUGGACUUCAGUUGCCAUGUAGACGUCUAUCUGAGGAUUGAUAUUUUUGCUAGAGGGUAACCUUUUUGACAGCUCAACAUUUUCUCGCCUUCUAAGCAUCAAACAUGAGGAAGUACUGUAGGGUUUAAUGUUGCCAAGAGGAGCAAUGAAAACAGAAGGAAGGAAGGAUAUCUCCAUUUAUAACCAGUGUUAAGCAUAGAGUUAUGUCUUUGGACUUGAUUGUUCUCUCUCUCUCUCUCUCUCUCUCUCUCUAUUAUCGCUACUCGUGCUACUGCUUCUGAAGCCAUUUCACCUCUGUGACAGUUAUCUCCCCCAAGUGGAGUCUAAUGAUGCCAAGUGAUGCUACAAGAUGUAAUCAAAAGAAGGGUGAAUCUUCCCAUUUAUAAUUAGGAUUAAGCAACAGAGUUUUAGCUUCCCACAAGAUUGUCCUCUAUCCUUCUUAUACUUCGUCGUCAUUGUUAAUUUUGCUAUUGUUACCCUUCUUGCUUGUUACUUUCUUCUAAAGCUUUUGUUGUACGAUCUUCGUUAUUAUCAUCAUGAUGUAUUGUUACCCUUCUUGCUUGUUACUUUCUUCUGAAGCUUUUGUUGUACGAUCUUCGUUAUUAUCAUCAUGAU